CCCUCCGGGAGCCGCCGGGGACGGGCCGCCGUCCUCAGCACGGCGGCGAAGAGCUGCUCGAAGAGCGGCCCCGUCCGCUCGGCGGGC
This 87-nucleotide transfer RNA is filed under the name Streptomyces griseomycini. RNAcentral describes it as "tRNA-SeC(tca)". Lineage: Bacteria; Bacillati; Actinomycetota; Actinomycetes; Kitasatosporales; Streptomycetaceae. The record is from RNAcentral.